RNAcentral lists this ribosomal RNA (408 nucleotides) under uncultured bacterium. RNAcentral describes it as "partial 16S ribosomal RNA". It matches the Rfam family "Bacterial small subunit ribosomal RNA", at positions 28 to 526 of the family's 1533-position model. The record is from RNAcentral.
GACGAACGCUGGCGGCGUGCUUAACACAUGCAAGUCGAACGAAGUGGCGAACGGGUGAGUAACGCGUAAUCAACCUGCCCUUCAGCGUGGGACAACAGUUGUAAACGACUGCUAAUACCGCAUACUGAAGGAGGGGCUUGCGUCUGAUUAGCUAGUUGGCGGGGUAACGGCCCACAAAGGCGAUGAUCAGUAGCCGGUGUGAGAGGAUGAACGGGCAAAUUGGGACUGAGACACGGGCCAGACUCCGACGGGAGGCAGCAGUGGGGAAUCUUCCGCAAUGGACGAAAGGCGGACGGAGCAACGCCGCGUGAGUGAUGACGGCGUUCGGGUUGUAAAGCUCUGUUAAUCGGGACGCGGUACCGGAAUAGAAAGCCACGGCUAACUACGUGCCAGCAGCCGCGGUAAUUC